GCCUUCGUGGUGUAGUGGUCAGCACGCUCGACGCGUAUUCGAGAGGUCCAUGGUUCGAGUCCCGGCGAGGGCA
Non-coding RNA from Stegodyphus mimosarum, 73 nucleotides. The record is from Rfam. Lineage: Eukaryota; Metazoa; Arthropoda; Arachnida; Araneae; Eresidae.